GAUUUUCUUUCUUCAGAGAGUACUUAAAAAAAUUAUUAACAAGAAUAUUAUUAUUAUUACAGAUAUAAUGGUGCAUUCUUUACUAAUUUCGAAAGAACAUUCCUUGAACCAAUAUCCAUAGAUCAAACACACGCGUAAAACAUGCGUGUAUUAACUUCCUGUUUCCCCUGUUUCCAUUUUGUAUCCUUUUUUCUGCCACGAACCGCGCCAUUUUCGAAUAUUUCCACCCUUCCCUCGUGGCGCAAAAUCCACGGAUUAGCGUGACUUGGAACGUCGAGUAAACUGUUAUUGGAUUACAGGGUGACGUAAUUAAGGGAGCCGAUAGAAAUAAAUCUUUUGCCUCGGCCAAUUGGAUAAUUUGUGACGUACGAUCCGCGGCUAUCGAUUCGAUUUUAUUACGGUUCACCCGUGUCCCCGUGGUUAUUCUCGGAUUUGUUUAGGCGAUGCUCCCCCUCGUGUUUAUCCCGAUGGCGCAAUGAGUCCAGGAAGGCAUUUCGCCGUUUCCGGGCGUAAAUCUUUCUUUUAUGAGAGGGAACAGACAAUUCGGGAACGGUUGGAACGGCUGUUCUUCUGGUGGACAUUGUUGUAAAUUUCAUCGAAGUUAAUCGUUUAAUUUGUUGUAUUUAGGGGAAAGUCUAAAUUAAUAUUAAUUGUUGAUAAUCCAUAAUCCACUUUUACCAUCGAAAAUAAAUUUAUUCAUUCUAUGUAUAUAAAUCAAUGAGAUCAAAAAAAUAAAAAAAGAAAGCUUCUUUCUCAAUCGUUCAAUUUCACAAUCAAAAUACUCCUUUAAUCAGAUUUACUCUCGGUUAAAAAGUCGUGUAAACGGUUCUUUCGUUGCAUUGUUUGCACAUCAGACGAAAGUUGGUCCAGCCAACCCCAUUUUCGGCCGAAAAUCGUGAAGCGAAGCGGAGGGAUAGUUUUCGCGCAGAAAUAUUUACAAUAAUUCGGACGGAUCGCGAACCUGGUCACUCGACUUCCCCCAUGGGGAAACGUGUAUCACCGGAUCCAGCGGAAAUUCCAACGGGACGAGAAAUCCGGUCAGCGCAUUCUCCCCGUUAUCGGUACCGCUUAUCGCCCCGCCGCAGAACGCGCUCCUAGCUCAUUUCCAAAGGAAUGGAAUGGUCUCGAGAGGACGCAAUUCCAUUCAGAAUACCGUGGCCACGCCACGUGGAGCCACGGAUUUUUCAAAACCACGUCCUGACAGGAUGCCUACUUUCCUCUAUCCGCUCAAUUGAUUCCAAUUAUUAAGAAUUUAUUUGUGUUUGAGGAUGCUCAAUUGAUUCCAAUUAUUAAGAAUUUAUUUGUGUUUGAGGAUGCUAUUGUUAUUUUGUAAAUAAAUGGAUGUACAUAUAAUCGAAAGAAGAAUGAAUUCACUUUUUUCGAAUUAUUGUGCAUCACUGUUGGAUUCUACUCCUGGAAGCGUAGUAUUAAGUUUAAUAUGAUCCCAAUACUAGAUACUUAUUAAUUGAUAUCAUUAUGAUAAUUAAAAACUAUUAAAGGGAACGGACGUAGAGUAAUUCCUUUCUUCUUUACAGUUAAUUAAUCGUAAUCCUCUCCGAGAUGUUGACAAGUUCAAGAAAAGAAAAAAGAAAAGAAGUAACGAGAGCGAGCGAGCGAAAGAAAACUGAAACGCCAUUCACCCGGUCGGAGGCGAACUAGUUUCGAACGAUUGAUAAAAAGGAAAGAAAAUAGAAAAUAGGGCUAUCGGUCGGAGAGACACCGUUUCCUGUCCGGGCGUCGAUAUCGAGGACUCGCGGGGGACCUUGAAAGGCACGCGCGGAAUCCGGCUCCGGGCCGCGUUUCUCCGCGCCCCCGACCGAUUUCCCGUUCUCGCGAAACGAUACCCACACUCUGGCCCCCCUCGCUCGUGAUUAGCCGCCAUCUCGAAUUAACCGGCCGUCUAUCCGCUCGUUAAAGUCUCGAUGAAAUUCCUUCACGCUCGCGGUUACGCAAUCGCGGUUGGCCCGAAGGAAUUGCCAAUUUAUCGCCUCGAGAGGAUCUCGUUUCUUUCUUUCUUUCUUUCUUUUUUUUUUUCAAUCCAUGUGGAACAGGGUCAAAGAUUUGUUUCGAGAUUAUUUUUUUUUUUAAGCGUGGAAAUCUUUUGAACCUUUUCUAUUUGAAGAUUUUUUUUAUUUCUGUUUCAGGGGCUGAACAUUUAAGUUCCAUUUGUGAAUUAAUUGGACGAAUUAUUGGGGAAUUUAUUUUUCAGAUUUUUGUAAAACGAUUUAAGAAACGAGGCCGGGUGAAUGGAAAGAUCGUAUGCAGAUCAUGUCGGUGAAAAAGAAUCAUAUUGCCAGGAGUAAUGAGGGCACCGGUGUUUUUCUUUUUUUUUUUUUUUUUCGCAACUUUGGACGAGAUAUAUCUUGUGAUAUAAACUUGUCGCUGACAGAUGUUUUGUGUCGCAAUAUAUAUAUCGUUCGUAUGCUAAGGAUGAAAUAUAAUUAUCUUUUAUCCUUCGAUAUUUGUUUAAUAUUUUAUAUUGAAAAUGGUAUAUCAAAGAUUGCAAGAAAUUUUCGGUAUAUUAAUUUUUAUUUGAUACGAAGAGGAAGAAACAAGAGGGCAGGAGGGAAAAAUGCAUCGAGGAACAUUCGUAGUGAGAACGCGUAUGGAAAUGGAAAUCCGAAUAUCUAUCCGAAAACUCUUUUGCACCUUUUACGUUUCUUCGAGGAAAAAUCUAUGACACAUAUGUUCACGUCACCCACAUUGAACGUGUUAAAAUUGAACGUCACUUAUCGGACACUUUGAAAUAUGUAUUCCACAUCUUGUCUUCUUCUUCGUUUCUUUCUUUUUUUUUUUUUUAUUCCAAAUUUUCAGAUGAUACAUUUCAUAUUAUAAUAAAAGAGAUAUCCCCUCCGUAAUAAACGAUAUUGCGACACGAAAUAUCUUGUCCUAUAUCAUCUCAUAUCUCGCGAUAGAAAGGAUCAAUCCUUUCAAUGGUAAGCAAUACUUUUGUUAUUUUAAAUAUUGCGAAAUUUUGAAAAUGUUACAAGGAGUAUUCUUGGCAAAAAAAAAUUUAUUGAAGUUUUAAGCGUUAUUAUGUAACAAAUGGAACUUCGUAUCGUAAAUUUAUAAAAGAUAUUAUCGGUUAAUAUUGUUUGUUCGACAAAGUACGUGAUAUAGCGAAUAUUUCUUGUAAUUUUAAUUAAUCACUUUGCGAUAGUAUUUUGAAGGAAUUUUAUCUUCUUCCUCGAUUAAUCGUUGUGUUAAAAUACUUCACACUUUUUAAAAUAUCCACGCGUGAAACGAUUUGCAUUUUUAUGCAGCCAAUAUAUCGGUUGUGAUUGCUGAAUCAUAUUCUCGUUUGUUUUUUUUUCGAAAUAUUUAAAUUUUAAGUUAACUAAAUUAAAUUUAGUUGGAAGAACAUAUUUUUUAUUCAAAUAUUGAAAUAUCCGUUUUUUUUUUUUUAAGGAAAACAGGAAGGUAAAGUUCAAAAGUAUGAAGUGAUUACACGAUAGAGUUUGAUUUUGAUUAUUAUUUUAUUCAUCUUAAUACAUUUUUAUUGAAUAGAUGACAAAGGGAUAAGGAAAGCUUGUUCAUUAUAAAAAGAAUAUAAAAAGAGAAAAUAUUGGAAAUAUCGGAGAAUGUUGUUGAAGGAAUUGUUGAAGCAUGAUAUUCGAGAGAAAUUUAAUUUAACUCGAAUGGAGAAAUUGAACAAAUUUUACCAACUGGCGGCGCUUGAAUCUCCAUUUUACGAAAUCUUGGAAGAAAUAAUUAACAUUCACCGAGGAUUUUUCAAGGAAUAUCAUCGCAAGAAAUCAUAAUUUCCUAGGAAACGGAAAACUGCAUUUUCUUCGCGGAAGUGCUUCUUAUCUCGAAUAAUUAUUAAUUUCAA
This is a long non-coding RNA of Apis mellifera (honey bee), 3832 nucleotides long. RefSeq lists it as uncharacterized. The record is from RefSeq and is a predicted model, not a curated record. The transcript is spliced from 2 exons. Lineage: Eukaryota; Metazoa; Arthropoda; Insecta; Hymenoptera; Apidae.